RNAcentral lists this ribosomal RNA (468 nucleotides) under uncultured bacterium. RNAcentral describes it as "partial 16S ribosomal RNA". It matches the Rfam family "Bacterial small subunit ribosomal RNA", at positions 28 to 507 of the family's 1533-position model. The record is from RNAcentral.
GACGAACGCUGGCGGCGUGCUUAACACAUGCAAGUCGAACGGAAAGGCCCUGCUUUUGUGGGGUGCUCGAGUGGCGAACGGGUGAGUAACACGUGAGUAACCUGCCCUUGACUUUGGGAUAACUUCAGGAAACUGGGGCUAAUACCGGAUAGGAGCUCCUGCUGCAUGGUGGGGGUUGGAAAGUUUCGGCGGUUGGGGAUGUACUCGCGGCUUAUCAGCUUGUUGGUGGGGUAGUGGCUUACCAAGGCUUUGACGGGUAGCCGGCCUGAGAGGGUUACCGGCCACCAUGGGCCUGCGAUACGGCCCAGACGCCUACGGGAGGCAGCAGUGGGGAAUAUGGCACAAUGGGCGGAAGCGUGAUGCAGCAACGCCGCGUGCGGGAUGACGGCCUUCGGGUUGUAAACCGCUUUCGCCUGUGACGAAGCGUGAGUGACGGUAAUGGGUAAAGAAGCACCGGCUAACUACGUG